GACGAACGCUGGCGGCGUGCUUAACACAUGCAAGUCGAACGGAAAGGCCCUGCUUUUGUGGGGUGCUCGAGUGGCGAACGGGUGAGUAACACGUGAGUAACCUGCCCUUGACUUUGGGGUAUCUUCAGGAAACUGGGGAUCAUACCGGAUAGGAGCUCCUGCUGCAUGGUGGGGGUAGGAAAGUUUCGGCGUUUGGGGAUGGAAUGGUGGCUAUUCGGCUUGUUGGUGGGGAGGUGGCGUACUAGGGCUUCGAGGGGUAGCCGGACUGAGAGGGUGACCGGCCACAGUGGGACUGAGAUAGGGGCCAGAGUCCUACGGGGGGCAGCAGUGGGGAACAGUCCACAAUGGGCGGAAGCCUGAUGCAGCGACGCCGGGUGGGGGAGGACGGCCGUCGGGUUGUAAACCGCGUUCGCCUGUGACGAAGCGUGAGUGACGGUAAUGGGUAAAGAAGCACCGGCUAACUACGUG
This 468-nucleotide ribosomal RNA is filed under the name uncultured bacterium. RNAcentral describes it as "partial 16S ribosomal RNA". It matches the Rfam family "Bacterial small subunit ribosomal RNA", at positions 28 to 507 of the family's 1533-position model. The record is from RNAcentral.